This 505-nucleotide ribosomal RNA is filed under the name uncultured bacterium. RNAcentral describes it as "partial 16S ribosomal RNA". It matches the Rfam family "Bacterial small subunit ribosomal RNA", at positions 28 to 507 of the family's 1533-position model. The record is from RNAcentral.
GACGAACGCUGGCGGCGUGCCUAAUACAUGCAAGUCGAACGCACAGUUUAUACCGUAGCUUGCUACACCAUAGACUGUGAGUUGCGAACGGGUGAGUAACGCGUAGGUAACCUGCCUGGUAGCGGGGGAUAACUAUUGGAAACGAUAGCUAAUACCGCAUAAUAUUAAUUAUUGUAUGAUAAUUGAUUUAAAGAUGCAACUGCAUCACUACUAGAUGGACCUGCGGUGUAUUAGCUAGUAGGGGAGGUAACGGCUCACCUAGGCGGCGAUACAUAGCCGACCUGGGAGGGGGGUCGGCCACACUGGGAAGGAGACAAGGCCCAGGAGCCUACGGGGAGCGGCAGUAGGGGAACUUCGGAAAUGGAGGAAAAGCCGAACGAGCAACGCCGCGGGAGGGAAGAAGGUUUUCGGAUCGUAAAGCUCGGUUGUAAGGGAAGAAAGGGUGUGAGAGUGGAAAGUUCACACUGUGACGGUAUCUGACCAGAAAGGGACGGCUAACUACGUG